Molecule: ribosomal RNA, 502 nt
Filed under: uncultured bacterium
Lineage: Bacteria
Description: partial 16S ribosomal RNA
Rfam family: Bacterial small subunit ribosomal RNA
Source: RNAcentral
GAUGAACACUAGCGGCAGGCCUAACACAUGCAAGUCGAGGGGCAGCACAGAAACAGCAAUGUUUUGGUGGCGACCGGCGGACGGGUGCGUAACGCGUAUGCAACCUACCUUUAACAGGAGGAUAACGGAGAGAAAUUUCCACUAAUACCCCAUAACAUCGAUCAAGGCAUCUUGAUUGGUUGAAAACUCCGGUGGUUAAAGAUGGGCAUGCGUUGUAUUAGGUAGUUGGUGAGGUAAUGGCUCACCAAGCCUACGAUACAUAGGGGGACUGAGAGGUUAGCCCCCCACACUGGAACUGAGACACGGACCAGACUCCUACGGGAGGCAGCAGUGAGGAAUAUUGGUCAAUGGGGGCAACCCUGAACCAGCCAUGCCGCGUGCAGGAAGACGGCUCUAUGAGUUGUAAACUGCUUUUAAACAGGGAUAAAGCACAGUAUGUAUACUGUGUUGAAGGUACUGUAAGAAUAAGGAUCGGCUAACUCCGUGCCAGCCGCCGCCGUAA